UGAAGCCCUUAUCUCUGAGGAAUUGACAGAUCUCCACCCCUCCGCAUAGAAGGAUGGCUUCUUCGCCAAACUUAUUUUGUGAAUUUUCGGCUUUGAUAUUCCUCUCUCAGAUAUCUUCUUUUCCUGGGAAAAGAUGAACUAAAAUAGUCUAGCAAGCUAAUACUUACAAUUAUAGGGGAAAUAAAUAUAGUAAGUUUAUUCAUAUGGGCCCCUUCUACGAGGAAAUGUUGGAUCUUCUUCCUUCAUCUCAAGGGAUGGUUCUUCAAGUGAUGAAAAAUUAUUGACAGAGGAGUCUUAAGAUAUCACAUUCUCUUAGUGAGAAGUAUUUUGGCUAUGUCUUUGUAUGAGUAAUGGACAAUUGCUAUAUUUUUAGGCAAC
Long non-coding RNA from Solanum stenotomum, 378 nucleotides. RefSeq lists it as uncharacterized. The transcript has 3 exons. NCBI's taxonomy places the organism in Eukaryota, Viridiplantae, Streptophyta, Magnoliopsida, Solanales, Solanaceae. The record is from RefSeq and is a predicted model, not a curated record.